UACCAGACUCCUACGGGAGGCAGCAGUGGGGGAUAUUGCACAAUGGGGGGAACCCUGAUGCAGCGACGCCGCGUGGGUGAAGGAGUGCUUCGGCAUGUAAAGCCCUAUCAGCAGGGAAGAACAAUGACGGUACCUGACUAAGAAGCACCGGCUAAAUACGUGCCAGCAGCCGCGGUAAUACGUAUGGUGCAAGCGUUAUCCGGAUUUACUGGGUGUAAAGGGAGCGCAGGCGGCGCGUUAAGCCUGGUGUGAAAGCCCGCGGCCCAACCGCGGGACUGCAUUGGGAACUGGCGCGCUGGAGUGCCGGAGGGGUAGGCGGAAUUCCUAGUGUAGCGGUGAAAUGCGUAGAUAUUAGGAGGAACACCAGUGGCGAAGGCGGCCUGCUGGACGAUGACUGACGUUGAGGCUCGAAAGCGUGGGGAGCAAACAGGAUUAGAUACCCGUAA
This 446-nucleotide ribosomal RNA is filed under the name uncultured bacterium. RNAcentral describes it as "bacterial SSU rRNA". It matches the Rfam family "Bacterial small subunit ribosomal RNA", at positions 329 to 792 of the family's 1533-position model. The record is from RNAcentral.